Long non-coding RNA from Anguilla anguilla (European eel), 3124 nucleotides. RefSeq lists it as uncharacterized. Lineage: Eukaryota; Metazoa; Chordata; Actinopteri; Anguilliformes; Anguillidae. The record is from RefSeq and is a predicted model, not a curated record. The transcript is spliced from 2 exons.
UUCAGCCAUCACAGGAUAAUGACCCGAAAUUAGCCUUAUCCAACAGUAACAAUGACUUAUAAAUAGUCAUUUUUUUAUUGGACUCUGCUGCUGUACUGCUAACACAUGGAUGGAGGGCUGUAGGGACUUAGAGCGAGGCUUUUCUGACCAGUUUUCACCCAGGCAUGUCGAUCAUUUAUAAUAACAAUAUCAGUUUUAAUCUAUUUCUACAAAUCGUGCAGUCCAGGCCAGCAAGAUGGUGAAUACUAUCAAACCCUAGCAAAUAACUGGCUGCAUCAUUUUAAGCUACCAGUUGGUAACAAACUGUAACUCAACAGCACAACGAACAUUUCACAUUUGGAGUUGAAUGAACAGUCAUCUGACAAGAAAAAAUUAUUCGGUAAUUAUAAAAAAGGGCAGGGAGAGAGGGAUGCUGGGACAGGAGCACUACACAAGCACUACACAUUCCAUUCCCAUGAAGCCAUGGCAUCCAGCCGACAGUUAACCCCGUGCUGUCCCCCACUCCCCCCGGCCACUGCGGUGGGCGAUACCAGCCCGGCUCGGCGGGACCACAGAGAGACCCGCCUGUGACUUUUAUUUAACAAGUUCACACUCCGGGACGACUGCGGCGUGCUGGGUAAUAACCACCUCGAUGGAAGCGCAGUCCUAGGGGCGACAUGUCACACACACUGCGAUGACAACGAUAAUUCGCUCCCUUCUAGAGGCCGAUUUCCCCACUCCCCUCCUCCCCCUUCUAGGAUGUGAGAUAAACAGCGUGCUAUUAGCAGAGAAUAGAAUAAAUGCAUGCUUUUCUCUCCUUCUCCACAGCCAUUUUCUUUCAAGGACAACAGCUGGGGUGCGCACAUCUCCUUUUUGCCCCUCCGUUUUUUUUGUGCUCACUUCACUAAUGGAUUAAGUUUGGGUUGCUGGAAUAGCCAGGGAGACAAUGUAGAAGAGCGAGAGCACGAAGGUCAGCUCGGUGGUGCGAAUGUUACACGCUCCAAGGUCGCCCGGAUAAAGAUGAUCUGGAAUGUGUUUUUCUUGGUUUUGCAUGAGCGACAUUUUGCCAUGCAGCACCCUUAAUAACGUUCAUGCGUGUUUCGGCAGAAGAAUACAUGCAUAAGUAUAACAGAGGAGGGAGGGAAUGAAGAAAAGAUACAUUUUGUAAAGGAGUAUAAAUCACAAUGACAGGUCACAGAGAGCCAUGCUGUACAGAAGUAUGCAAUGACGUGAACAGGAAGCUUGCAGCAAAGAAAAGACAACAGCAAAUACAUAGCCAAAUAAAAUAAGACAAUUAAACAUUUUCAUCAAACAACAUUUAUGGUGUAAUAGCACUUUUGGAUAUUAUAUACGUAAUGGAAUUUUUAUUAAGAGCUAUUUAUGCUCUUAAAAAAGGUGAGGUCAAAACAUAAUGGGAUUUGAGCACAUACGCGCAGGUGGGUUUCAAUGUCACUCCCGAGUGAUGGUGCCGCAGAAUGACACCGGAGUGAAGGAAGAUGUCUGUAUUCUCAGGAAAACUUCCCUCUGUCCUUGUGUCCCAUUCUCCUCUGCUCCUUCCCUUUCAUGGUUCCUUGUGACGGGUUCAGAAGGAAUCAAGGUAAGGAAACAAGGAAAUGUUUUACAUUUUUUAAUGUGCUCCAUGCCCCUCUGAGCUGAUACGCAUUUUUCCUCUGACAACUAAUGUGGAAAAAAAGUAAUUCUGAACAUGGAGAUCAUAAUGCUCGUCAUUAUGCAAUAAUGACCUUGAUUUGUUUAUUUUAACUUCAAGAAAGGAAUGUUAAUUUGCUUCAUUGAGGGGUUUGAUGAAACCUGGCUUGAGCUAAAACCUGGCUGACAAAAAAAAUGGCUUCCCUUUAUUUUAAUAAUGCUUUUGCCAGCAGUACAGUAUCUGGCAAAUAUCUUUCACUCAGUUAUCGCUGGAUUGAAUCAAACGCCUUCCAGGAAAUUUGUUGAGGCCUUGCAGGCUUUUCAUUGCGGCCUAAUUUAUAACCUCUUAAAUUUCGUCUUUGCUAUUGAGUCCCACGUCUCAAAGCCCAAGCAAGUUGAAAGGGUGCUUUGAGCAUUGUUGAAUGCUUUAUGUGUUACUAAUCCACUGGAGGCAUCUUAUUAAAGGGACACAUGGACUAUAAACUGCGGUAGGGCUUGUAAGACACCUUCUGGCACAUGCCCACCAUUUUGAACGAGACCUGUCAGUACAGGACUGAUACACCCUGCCCUUCCACCUAAAUCUGUUAACGUACCAUUGGUCAAUCACUCUGCCCUGUGCCUCUGAAGAAAAUCUGGGGAUCAUCCUUACCUCUGUUUUCCUGGAUUUAAGAAGAAGUUCCACUCAAGCUUGAUUUAAGAGUACAUGCAAACCUUACUUUUUCAAUGCAAAUAUUUACAUUAUUACUAAUUUUAGUUAAAUUUGAACUCAGUAACCAUGCUGUGAAGAAAUCAACUACCUUUUACAAUUAAUUGGAUGUCAAAGGAUUAAAUGAACACUUAUCUGUAAUCUUAAUUCUGACUAAAAAAAUUAAUGUUAAAACUGUUUCUUUACGUUCAGUUUUACAAGUCAAAACAAAGGUCAAAUGUUGAUAGAAUCCAGGCCAAAGUUAUGGGCAAAUGUUGAUUGAAUCCAGACCUUCUGUCUGAACACACUUGUUCUUUGGCGUCCUCUUGCUCGCUCCUCUUGGGGUAAUAUUUGUUAAAUUCGCCUUCUUUCCGAUGAUAUAUUCCAUGCAGCUGACCUCCCCUUCUCAUGCUCUUCCUCUUCAGCUGAUACAACGCUUUACUGCGCGGCCUUCCUGUGCUCUGUCUCUCCUCUCAGGCAGUUCCAUUGCUCAGUUCCACUCCCAGGCUGAUUGUUGUUGUUGCUGUUGUUGUUGUUGAGAUUUGCUUCGAAACCCCUUGCUCUUGUUUACAGCUGUGCUAAUCCUUCUGUUCCUCAUUAUCAUCAAUCACAUCCUCCUACUCCCCCUUUACAUCUGUUGACAUCCGUGUCUACUUGCGAAAGCUCUUCCAUUUCUCCACUCUGUUCAUAGCUAGAGCUUCAGAUCACAAAAAAAAUGUUUGUGGUUUCGUUUGCAAAAUGCGCAUUUAAUUUCAUGGCAUUGUAAUACGUUGUGAAAAAUAAAAACUAGUCUUUGUGUGUUAGAGACCAAAA